This 569-nucleotide ribosomal RNA is filed under the name uncultured bacterium. Its description in RNAcentral is "bacterial SSU rRNA". It matches the Rfam family "Bacterial small subunit ribosomal RNA", at positions 276 to 842 of the family's 1533-position model. The record is from RNAcentral.
ACGAUGCGUAGGGGUUCUGAGAGGAAAGUCCCCCACACUGGUACUGAGACACGGACCAGACUCCUACGGGAGGCAGCAGUGAGGAAUAUUGGUCAAUGGCCGCAGGGCUGAACCAGCCAAGUCGCGUGAGGGAUGACGGUCCUAUGGAUUGUAAACCUCUUUUGUCAGGGAGCAAAGGGCGCCACGUGUGGCGCUUUGCGAGUACCUGAAGAAAAAGCAUCGGCUAACUCCGUGCCAGCAGCCGCGGUAAUACGGAGGAUGCGAGCGUUAUCCGGAUUUAUUGGGUUUAAAGGGUGCGCAGGCGGAAUGUCAAGUCAGCGGUAAAAUUUCGGGGCUCAACCCCGUCGUGCCGUUGAAACUGGCGUUCUUGAGUGAGCGAGAAGUAUGCGGAAUGCGUGGUGUAGCGGUGAAAUGCAUAGAUAUCACGCAGAACUCCGAUUGCGAAGGCAGCAUACCGGCGCUCAACUGACGCUCAUGCACGAAAGCGUGGGUAUCGAACAGGAUUAGAUACCCUGGUAGUCCACGCAGUAAACGAUGAAUACUAACUGUCCGGGCAGAAUGAUGCCUGG